UACGUAGGGUCCAAGCGUUAUCCGGAGUCACUGGGCGUAAAGCGUGCGUAGGCGGAUGUUUAAGUGCAAUGCGAAAUCCUGUGGCUCAACCAUAUGGACUGUAUUGCAUACUGGAUAUCUGGAGGAAUGCAGAGGCAAGUGGAAUUACCGGUGUAGCAGUGAAAUGCGUAGAGAUCGGCAGGAACACCCAGGGGGAAACCAGCCGACUGGGCAUCUACUGACGCUGAGGUGCGAGAGCGUGGGGAGCGAACCGG
RNAcentral lists this ribosomal RNA (254 nucleotides) under uncultured bacterium. RNAcentral's name for it is "partial 16S ribosomal RNA". It matches the Rfam family "Bacterial small subunit ribosomal RNA", at positions 524 to 776 of the family's 1533-position model. The record is from RNAcentral.